Molecule: long non-coding RNA, 347 nt
Organism: Heteronotia binoei (common prickly gecko)
Lineage: Eukaryota; Metazoa; Chordata; Lepidosauria; Squamata; Gekkonidae
Exons: 2
Source: RefSeq, a predicted model, not a curated record
UUAGCUUCGCCCUCCACCUCCUCCUCACUUCUCGUCGGCUCUGGGGCUUCCCUUUCAGUUCUCGCGUCUCUUCUUCCCCCGGCGGUGAGUUCUCGCGCGACUUGGCUGGGGCUGAGGCUUCGGGGGGCUGCUGUUAAGAUGGCGGCGGCGGGAGGCAGCGGGGGACGGCACUGACACCCCUCUCCGUCGCCUGGCCCCAGCAGGCCCUAAAAUAGUCUGAUGUAAGUGGAUUAGUGUCACUGAGGAACCAGGAGGUGUUACCCUUGGCUGGCUUGGGUGAGGCAAAGGUGCCCGAGCAGUGACUUGGAUAACAGACAGGCCAAGUAUGGAUUGGCUGUGAUUCCAGG